UCCAUCCAUCUCAUUCAAUUGCCCCAACCACAACUCCACUGCCUUAUUCCAAUUCAAAUUAAGUCAUCUAACUGCUCACAAAACCUUAUGCUCCAAUUCUAUUAGCAGAUGGCAUGCAUUACGAUAAACCAGUUGGUAUGGUGACAUGCCGAUAGGCAUCUUAAAAGCUGUUCUAUAUGCCUAAAGUGCAUCUUCAAGCUUCCUAGACCAGUCU
This 214-nucleotide long non-coding RNA is filed under the name Capsicum annuum. Its description in RNAcentral is "long non-coding RNA (CANN_LNC009955)". The record is from RNAcentral. Lineage: Eukaryota; Viridiplantae; Streptophyta; Magnoliopsida; Solanales; Solanaceae.